Small nuclear RNA from Spermophilus dauricus (Daurian ground squirrel), 125 nucleotides. NCBI's taxonomy places the organism in Eukaryota, Metazoa, Chordata, Mammalia, Rodentia, Sciuridae. The record is from Ensembl.
AAUUGCUAUAAAUGGAGGAGAAUUAGCAUUCCCCUGGAUAGAGAUGGAAGAGGCCCUGAGAUCUACACACACAUACACAGUUAAGGCUUUGCUGCCCAUUUUGUGACAUCUGUUUAUUUCAGGUU